Molecule: long non-coding RNA, 465 nt
Organism: Heteronotia binoei (common prickly gecko)
Lineage: Eukaryota; Metazoa; Chordata; Lepidosauria; Squamata; Gekkonidae
Exons: 3
Source: RefSeq, a predicted model, not a curated record
AGGAAUGGGUACUUCAGGUAAUCUCUCAAAAAAUCUGGAUUCAGGGCAUGAAUCCAAGUCUCAGAUUAAAAACGCAGCUGGUUCCCAUGAAAGGAAUACUAGAGCCAAGGGAAGUUGACAAUAUUCAGGAAUUAUGUCUGCAGUUGGAUCCAAAGAUAAGACGUUUUGUGUCAUCUCCAUGUACGGAUUAUGCCUCAUGGAUCUGUGAGGCACUAUUAGCUUUGGAGCCAGUGGAGGUUUUUUAUAAGUGGUGGAUGUCAACAGUUUUAUCUGGUACAAUAACAACAAUUGUAGUGAUUGUGACUGUGUUUCUAACAUAUAAAAUUGGACACUGGAUUCCAGAAGCAACAGGUAAAUCAAGAACUCAGUCAGUCUCACUCUAGGAGCAUGGGUUCAGUAAUCAGAAAGCCCUUCAUAUGAAGAGCAAAAAAUAGUGUACACUGUUGGCAGGCUAAGUGACAGUCC